Brassica napus (rape) is the source of this 2372-nucleotide long non-coding RNA. RefSeq lists it as uncharacterized. The record is from RefSeq and is a predicted model, not a curated record. Lineage: Eukaryota; Viridiplantae; Streptophyta; Magnoliopsida; Brassicales; Brassicaceae. The transcript has 2 exons.
AUAGUCGGUACUAUCGAUGGUACGGGUAAUUGAGUAUGAUUGAUUCCCUGUAUAGGAGAGUUUUGUGCUUUAGCCCAGAGUAACGAUUUCGUUUCUGCCGAUUUGAGAGUAUCUCUCGGAUCCAUAUCCAAAUUGAUAAAUACUUUAUUGUUUUUUCCUUUCCAUAUAUACCAUAGAAUCCAUGCAAGGUGAUGAUCUUCCAUUUCCAGGGAGACUCUCCAAAAUAAAUGAUCCAUAUUUGUAAACAGUGAUUGAGUGGAAAAUAUACCGGAUUCGUUGGGAUUCAUGAAAAUGCUUAGACCUGGAUCGCCGGUGGUCAAAGAAAAUAUGAUUUAUGGACUCCUCAGUAGCUCCACAUUGGUCGCAUAUUGUAUCCUCUUGCAUUCCUCUUGACCUCAAUUUUUUCUUAACUGCUAUGCAUCAUGUCAGCAGUUGCCAUAAAAAAUGUUUCAUUUUAGGUGGGCAGCGUACUUUCCAGCAGAAAGUCUUUAGCGGGGUGACCGAAGGACCAUACACGGGUGGUAUUCUUUCUUUAUCCGGAUACACUCAUUCCACUUGAUAUCCAGAUUUAACUGUGUAUCUCCCAUUGUUUGUAAAAUACCAUCCAUCCCGAUCUUCUGUAUGAAAUCGACUUGUGACAAUAGAAAGAUUUAUCGUUAGUGACUAAUUGUUUAAUCAAAACUCUAAACCCCAAAUAAAAGUUUUGAAACCCUAAACUAUAAACAGAAAAAAGUAAUUACUUUAAUACAUUGAUCCAAAGCUAGGAUUCAACGUUUACAAAAGAAUUCUAAUUUUUCAUAUGUUAUUUUCAAAUUUUUACUUUAAUCUUCAAACCUUAAACAAAACCCAAACUCUGUAUUCCAAUUUCUAAAUUAAAAAUUCUAAACCUUUAACUUUAAAUUCUUAGGCAUUAGAUUUAAAUCAUAAACCAUAAAAUAAAAUAUGCCUAUUACUUGUCCAUAAAUAAAACCAAUAUAUAGAUCUUGAACUAUCUAAACUCAAAUCUAACCCUAAGUUAUAAACAAUAAAUUUAAAAUAGACUAAAAUGUAACCCUGAGUAUAUUAAAACUUCAAAAUCUAAAAUUUACACCAGUUUUUAAAUAUAAAUAAUACAAAUUUGAAAAUUUAAAGGAAAAAUAAAUAUAUAUUAUUUGGUUUAAAAUUUAUUCAUUUUAUAUGUCUAAAUAUCACAAUUCACAACUAAUCACAAUUUGUCACCCUUUUUUGACAACAAAGAUAGAUUUUAUUCAAAUAGUGAAUGGAUAAUACAAUUUUUCACUUUUAUUAUAUAUCACAAUUGCUAAAAUAAAAGUAUGGCCAUAAAAUUUUGACUGAAUUUUUUUUGUUCCCCCGAUUUAAUUGUGUAACCCGCCGCCACAAAUAUAUCCUAAAACCCUAAUUACACUUACAAUAACCUCUUAUUUUUCUUGUUUAAUUCCCCUCCAUGUCUCUCUCUCUUUUCCUUCGGUUUCGUUCUUAGAUCGUAUCUCGUUUCUUAAAUUUUCAGUCUUGUUCAGUUGCAUAUAGGAAUCUCCGGCAGUGGUUAGAAGAGGAGAUGUGUUUCUUCAGUCUCUCCAGCAGUGGUAAGAGAUCUUCGCAUCCAAUGUGAAUCUUCGUUUUGUUCUGUUCGAUGCAGACAUUUGCAUGUCGACUCAGCUUACUUUGAUAGCAAUUAGAUCCUUUUGUUUUACGUAAUAUUAGAGAUUUUCCUGCCAAUUUCAGUUUACUUUGAAUUUUGAGAUGAGAAAAGUGAAUCGAUUCCAGUUUUUGAUUCUUCUCGGCCGAGCAUAGUUUGAUUUUAAAUUGUUUUGUUUAUUUAGAUAUAUGGACCUUUCAUACCAUGUCAAUUCAGCGAGAUGAAGAAUCUAAACCAGUGGAAACACAAGUUCAUGUUCUAUUGUCGUUACUUUAUCUCAGUUUCACCACGCUUGAAUUUCCUGUCAAAUACCAAGAAGAGAAUUGAUCUGUGGCUACAAUACGAACGCUGGAAGCACAUCUCUCACUGUUUGAUCAGGAUCCAUAAAAACUAUGAUCUUUUGCUGAGACACAAUUUGCACAUUAUUACUAUUCUAAGAUGACCGCCCUGUUCGGCAAGAAAAGUUCAGAUUGCUUGGCAUGAUAUAUUGGUCACCAACCCCAAGGUCUGCCACAGCUAAUCAAGUGUUUUACCUUCGAAUGUGAUGGUGGUGGAAAACGCAGCAUCAAUGAUCUGCAACAGCGGUGGUGUUGGCCGAUAUGGCCGAGACGACUAGAAUUAGAUGUAUUGAUUUAUUGUUUUCUUUUUUAUCUUUAAUUUUAAUUAUUUAAUUAAUUUUAUUUAUUUGUAUUACAAAAUAUUAUUCGAAAAAUAAAUACAUUUUUUUAAAAAAAAA